GGGCUAGCAGUAGCUCAGUCGGUAGAGCAAGGCACUAACACUGCAGGGUUAGGGGUCCUAAUCCCUGUGUAGCUCA
Merluccius polli (Benguela hake) is the source of this 76-nucleotide non-coding RNA. The record is from the annotation of a GenBank genome assembly. Lineage: Eukaryota; Metazoa; Chordata; Actinopteri; Gadiformes; Merlucciidae.